GAUGAAGAACGUAGCGAAAUGCGAUAAGUAAUGUGAAUUGCAGAAUUCAGUGAAUCAUCGAAUCUUUGAACGCACAUUGCGCCCGCCAGUAUUCUGGCGGGCAUGCCUGUUCGAGCGUCAUUUCAACCCUCAAGCCCUGCUUGGUGUUGGGGAUCGGCGUUGCCUCCUCCGUCGUUCGCGGCGGGGUGAGGUCGCCGCCCCCGAAAUGAAUUGGCGGUCUCGUCGCAGCUUUCCUUUGCGUAGUAACAUACCACCUCGCAACCAGGAGCGCGGCGCGGCCACUGCCGUAAAACGCCCAACUUUUUCAAGAGUUGACCUCGAAUCAGGUAGGAAUACCCGCUGAACUUAAGCAUAUCAAUAAGCUGAGGA
This 369-nucleotide unclassified non-coding RNA is filed under the name soil metagenome. RNAcentral's name for it is "partial contains 5.8S ribosomal RNA, internal transcribed spacer 2, and large subunit ribosomal RNA". The stretch from base 1 to 120 matches the Rfam family "5.8S ribosomal RNA", at positions 35 to 154 of the family's 154-position model. The record is from RNAcentral.